RNAcentral lists this ribosomal RNA (450 nucleotides) under uncultured bacterium. RNAcentral's name for it is "partial 16S ribosomal RNA". It matches the Rfam family "Bacterial small subunit ribosomal RNA", at positions 354 to 796 of the family's 1533-position model. The record is from RNAcentral.
GUGGGGAAUUUUGGACAAUGGGCGCAAGCCUGAUCCAGCAAUGCCGCGUGCAGGAAGAAGGCCUUCGGGUUGUAAACUGCUUUUGUACGGAACGAAACGGUCCUGGCUAAUAUCCGGGGCUAAUGACGGUACCGUAAGAAUAAGCACCGGCUAACUACGUGCCAGCAGCCGCGGUAAUACGUAGGGUGCGAGCGUUAAUCGGAAUUACUGGGCGUAAAGCGUGCGCAGGCGGUGCUGUAAGACAGGCGUGAAAUCCCCGGGCUCAACCUGGGAAUUGCGGUUGUGACUGCAGUGCUGGAGUGCGGCAGAGGGGGAUGGAAUUCCGCGUGUAGCAGUGAAAUGCGUAGAUAUGCGGAGGAACACCGAUGGCGAAGGCAAUCCCCUGGGCCUGCACUGACGCUCAUGCACGAAAGCGUGGGGAGCAAACAGGAUUAGAAACCCGUGUAGUCC